CGGUUGUACAUGUAUCAACCGGAUGAAGGAAAAAGUAGUUGGAAUAGGAAUUAUGUGCUUCAUUAUUUGUUCACUUUUUCUGUACCGAAAUGAAUUCCAAGGAAAACCAAUAUUUAUGUUACCGAAUGGUUCUUAUGCAGCAAUACUUUUGGAUGAGAACCCUGACGAUGAGCAACACAACUCUAUGCUACAGGAACGGAUCACCAAUUUAAAACAGUUUUGCAAAUAUCAUCC
Molecule: long non-coding RNA, 234 nt
Organism: Mytilus trossulus (common blue mussel)
Lineage: Eukaryota; Metazoa; Mollusca; Bivalvia; Mytilida; Mytilidae
Exons: 3
Source: RefSeq, a predicted model, not a curated record